CAUCUCCGUGUAGCUAGAUAUACCGGUGUACCGUCAAAUCCUAUCUCUUGUCCAAAUUACAUCCCUUCCUGAUUUUCAGUACGUUUUUUAUUUUUCAGCUGACUUUAAUUAUUUCUAUAGCUUUUUAUUUUCAGCGAAAUAUAUGUUGACAGACAAACAAGAAAUAUUUCGUCAUCGACUGCCACUGGGGAUGUUUACACAGAACUGAUUCAGCCUCGAGUAAAGCGUGAUUAAAGAAUCCAGGGAAUCAGGAGUCUGUCGCCGCAGGAUACUUGCUAUUUUCCACCUGGGCAGAUGAAUCACCACCAUAACGCUCUCUAUCCACCCCUUACCUUCACAGUGCUGAGGCAAUAUCCGUGGAGCUUACUGUAAAUAGAUUCUAUCGUUUUACAGCUACAUUUGUUUGUUAUGAAAGGACAGACCAAAGCAGUUGACAACAGAGAUCGUUUGUGUGGUGUUAUAGAUGUUUCAGUAGCGAAGAACAGAGAUGGACUAUCCAAAGAAGAAUAAAUCCAGGACUUUGAAUUUUGACUGGACAAGUUUAAUUAGAAGGUAAAGCUUAUUCCAAGAUACUUCAGAAAAAAUAAAACAU
Molecule: long non-coding RNA, 592 nt
Filed under: Limulus polyphemus (Atlantic horseshoe crab)
Lineage: Eukaryota; Metazoa; Arthropoda; Merostomata; Xiphosura; Limulidae
Description: uncharacterized LOC111087873, transcript variant X2
Source: RNAcentral